RNAcentral lists this ribosomal RNA (479 nucleotides) under uncultured Omnitrophica bacterium. RNAcentral's name for it is "bacterial SSU rRNA". It matches the Rfam family "Bacterial small subunit ribosomal RNA", at positions 930 to 1382 of the family's 1533-position model. Lineage: Bacteria; Pseudomonadati; Candidatus Omnitrophota. The record is from RNAcentral.
CAGUGGAACAUGUGGUUCAAUUCGACGCUACGCGAAGAACCUCGACCAGGGUUGACAUAUAGGUAGUAGGGAAACCUGAAACGGGAGACGACUCGUUAAGCCGAGUGCCUAGUACAGGUGUUGCAUGGGCUGUCGUCAGCUCGUGCCGUGAGGUGUUGGGUUAAGUCCCGCAACGAGCGCAACCAUCAAUCCUUAGUUGCUACCGAGGGAUCCGAAAGGGUCCUGGCGAGCACUCUAAGGAGACUGCCCGUGAUAAACGGGAGGAAGGUGGAGAUGGCGUCAAGUCCGUAUGGCUCUUAUACCCUGGGCUACACACGUGUUACAAUGGGAUGUACAGAGCGUUGCCAAACCGCGAGGUGGAGCUAAUCGCAAAAAGCAUCCCCCAGUUCAGAUUGGAGUCUGCAACCCGACUCCAUGAAGUUGGAAUUGCUAGUAACGGCGGAUCAGCUACGCCGCCGUCGAAUACGUUCCCGGGCCUU